Molecule: ribosomal RNA, 480 nt
Filed under: uncultured bacterium
Lineage: Bacteria
Description: partial 16S ribosomal RNA
Rfam family: Bacterial small subunit ribosomal RNA
Source: RNAcentral
AUGAACGCUGGCGGCGUGCUUAACACAUGCAAGUCGAACGAAGCACUUUAUUUGAUUUCCUUCGGGACUGAUUAUUUUGUGACUGAGUGGCGGACGGGUGAGUAACGCGUGGGUAACCUGCCUUGUACAGGGGGAUAACAGUUGGAAACGGCUGCUAAUACCGCAUAAGCGCACAGCAUCGCAUGAUGCAGUGUGAAAAACUCCGGUGGUAUAAGAUGGACCCGCGUUGGAUUAGCUAGUUGGUGAGGUAACGGCUCACCAAGGCGACGAUCCAUAGCCGACCUGAGAGGGUGACCGGCCACAGUGGGACUGAGACACGGCCCAAACUCCUACGGGAGGCAGCAGUGGGGAAUAUUGCACAAUGGGCGAAAGCCUGAUGCAGCGACGCCGCGUGAGCGAAGAAGUAUUUCGGUAUGUAAAGCUCUAUCAGCAGGGAAGAUAAUGACGGUACCUGACUAAGAAGCACCGGCUAAAUACGUG